RNAcentral lists this ribosomal RNA (1045 nucleotides) under Brochymena sp. WCW-2003. RNAcentral describes it as "SSU rRNA". It matches the Rfam family "Eukaryotic small subunit ribosomal RNA", at positions 395 to 1343 of the family's 1831-position model. The record is from RNAcentral. Lineage: Eukaryota; Metazoa; Arthropoda; Insecta; Hemiptera; Pentatomidae.
CCUGAGAAACGGCUACCACAUCCAAGGAAGGCAGCAGGCACGCAAAUUACCCACUCCCGGCACGGGGAGGUAGUGACAAAAAAUAACGAUACGGGACUCAUCCGAGGCCCCGUAAUCGGAAUGAGAACACCCUAAAUCCUUUAACGAGGAUCUAUUGGAGGGCAAGUCUGGUGCCAGCAGCCGCGUAAUUCCAGCUCCAAUAGCGUAUAUUAAAGUUGUUGCGGUUANNNNNNNCUAGUUGGUUCUGCGUGCCACGCUGUCGGUUCACCGCCUGUCGGUGCAACUGGCAUGCCGUGGCAUGUCCUGUCGGUGGCCGACGGGCUUCGCGGCGCGCCCCACUCGCUCAGGCGUGUGGGUGUACGCGCCGUGUCGUCCUCGUUGGCCGGCUCAAUCCUACCGCGGUGCUCUUAAACGAGUGUCGAGGUAGGCCGACACUGUUUACUUUGAACAAAUUAGAGUGCUUAAAGCAGGCUCUGAAAGCAGCCUGAAUAGUGGUGCAUGGAAUAAUGGAACAGGACCUUGGUUCUAUUUUGUUGGUUUACGGAAUCCAAGGUAAUGAUCAAUAAGGACAGGCGGGGGCAUUCGUAUUGCGACUUGGCAAAUGCUUUCGCGGUGAAAUUCUUGGACCGUCGCAAGACGAACUAAAGCGAAAGCAUUUGCCAAGUAUGUCUUAAUUGAUCAAGAACGCACGUUAGAGGUUCGAAGGCGAUCAGAUACUGCCCUAGUUCUAACCAUAAACGAUGCCAGCCAGCGAUCCGCCGAUGUUCCUCCGAUGACUCGGCGGGGAGCUUCCGGGAAACCAAAGCUUUUGGGUUCCGGGGGAAGUAUGGUUGCAAAGCUGAAACUUAAAGGAAUUGACGGAAGGGCACCACCAGGGGUGGAGCCUGCGGCUUAAUUUGACUCAACACGGGAGACCUCACCAGGCCCGGACAUUGGAAGGAUUGACAGAUCGAUAGCUCUUUCUCGAUUCAGUGGGUAGUGGUGCAUGGCCGUUCUUAGUUGGUGGACUGAUUUGUCUGGUUAAUUCCGAUAACGAACGAGACUC